GACGAACGCUGGCGGCGUGCUUAACACAUGCAAGUCGAACGGAAAGGCCCUCCUUUGGUGUGUUGCUAGAGGGGCAAAGGGGUGUAAAACGCGUGCAUACCCUCCCUUUGAUUUUGGUAGACAUGCAGAAAAGUGGGUCUAAUACCGGAUUGCGGCUCUUCCGCAUGGGUGGGGGUUGGAAGCUUCGGGCGGGUGGGGAUGGACUCGCGGCUUAUCAGCUUGUUGGUGGGGUAGUGGCUUACCAAGGCUUUGAGGGGUAGCGGGCUUGAGAGGGUGACCGGCCACAUUGGGACUGAGACACGGCCCAGACUCCUACGGGAGGCAGCAGUGGGGAAUAUUGCACAAUGGGCGGAAGCCUGAUGCAGCAACGCCGCGUGCGGGAUGACGGCCUUCGGGUUGUAAACCGCUUUCGCCUGUGACGAAGCGUGAGUGACGGUAAUGGGUAAAGAAGCACCGGCUAACUACGUG
RNAcentral lists this ribosomal RNA (468 nucleotides) under uncultured bacterium. RNAcentral describes it as "partial 16S ribosomal RNA". It matches the Rfam family "Bacterial small subunit ribosomal RNA", at positions 28 to 507 of the family's 1533-position model. The record is from RNAcentral.